CAGUCGCCGCGGUAAUACGUAGGGUGCGAGCGUUAAUCGGAAUUACUGGGCGUAAAGCGGGCGCAGACGGUUACUUAAGCAGGAUGUGAAAUCCCCGGGCUCAACCUGGGAACUGCGUUCUGAACUGGGUAACUAGAGUGUGUCAGAGGGAGGUAGAAUUCCACGUGUAGCAGUGAAAUGCGUAGAGAUGUGGAGGAAUACCGAUGGCGAAGGCAGCCUCCUGGGAUAACACUGACGUUCAUGCCCGAAAGCGUGGGUAGCAAACAGGAUUAGAUACCCCCGUAGUCCCUGUCUCUUAUAA
RNAcentral lists this ribosomal RNA (301 nucleotides) under uncultured bacterium. Its description in RNAcentral is "partial 16S ribosomal RNA". It matches the Rfam family "Bacterial small subunit ribosomal RNA", at positions 509 to 809 of the family's 1533-position model. The record is from RNAcentral.